Molecule: long non-coding RNA, 1472 nt
Organism: Triplophysa dalaica
Lineage: Eukaryota; Metazoa; Chordata; Actinopteri; Cypriniformes; Nemacheilidae
Exons: 2
Source: RefSeq, a predicted model, not a curated record
CUCCAAGUCUCUCUCACCCGUUUGAUCUGAAGUGCGCGUCCGUCCUGUCGUUCUUGCCGCAGCACAGUACGGCCUGCACCCCCGUUAUAACUCACAAACCAUUCUGUGCUGCUACAGUACCGGCAGGCCCCGCGCAGAACGCGCGCACAGGCACACACGCGAGGCGCGCUCACACGGCCGCACAUAAACCUGACAACACACAAGAUAAAGAAAGAACGUCAGUAUGCUUUGAUGGUGUAGUUCAACGAUGCCACAAUGACACGGAGAAUAAAAACAAACGUAUCAGUGCUUGCUUGGUAGAUAUACAUUGUAAAUAAAAUAUCAUGGUGUUAUUCUGAUUUAAAUGCGAUACAUUCUCUAUGUAUGUUGUAUCUUCUGCAUAUUGCAAGUGGAAUAGUGCAGUUCUCUUUUAAUUUGUAUGAAAUAGAUUAUUUGGCACACAUUUUUAUAGAGAUGCUUGCUUUUUGUUAAGACCUGAAAAGCUGACCCUCUCUAAAAAGGUAUAAUUUUCAACGAUGUUUGAUGUGUUUCUUGUUUGUAAUGUUCAAAUUAUCUAGCCUUUCAAGAUAUACCUUUUUAAAAAAUACAAAAUGUUAUAUUUCUGUUUCACACACUUAUUAGCCAAUCAUAUGUUUAAAUGAUUUAAACUUUUUUUUCUUAACAGCACUUCCCUUUUCUAAAGUGAUGGGAGGCUUUUUGUUAUAAUGUCUACAUGCAUAGUUCUAAGCCAUAGUGAUAACAACUUAACUGUUCUGAGUUAUAGGUGAGAAACAAAUGAUAUUUACACCAUUCUUGCAAAACCCGCGUACUUCGUUCUGAUUAAUUCCUCCUUGCUAGGUGAGCCAUUAAACUUUUGGUGUAACACAAGCAAGAGGACAGGGGAGCAUCUCCUGUCUAAAAGUGUAAAAUUACAGGUUGUGAAAAGGACUUCUGGGAAAAAAGUGUUCUCUGACAAAGGCUGCAAACCACCCAUAUUAUAAUAUUUACUUAUGCCAUUUGCUGUCUGUCUCUUUCAUUUUUGUGUUUUCACUUUAUUGAAUAUUUUACAAGGAUAUAGAGAAUGUUGUGUUCGUUUUUUUAAACAUUAAUAUUUUCUUUUAUGGAUUUCAGAAAAGCAAGUUGAAUUGAAUUGAUUUACUCACAGAAGCUUGUCACUAAUGCUAUGGGCACAACAAGGUCCAUCUCCUGAGAUAAAAGAAAAUACAUUUAUAAAGCAAAUUUUAGCUAUUAGGUUGUUCAAUGUAUGAUAACAGGUAUACUUACAGUCCACUCUCUAUAUAGCAUUCUGUGUAUUUUUACUAGACAGGUGUGAUUCUAUUGUGGGUUUUUUUUCUUUAUUUUUAAGUAAAUGUAGUAUAUUAUGGUUUGAAGGUAAAUUCUUGUUCUUAUUUCAAAGUUUGUGGCUAAAUGUGUGUUUGUGAGUGUGUAAAAAAAAAUUUGUGGCAAUUAAAUAAAUAUAUUCUUAAAAGACA